GACGAACGCUGGCGGCGUGCUUAACACAUGCAAGUCGAACGGAAAGGCCCUGCUUUUGUGGGGUGCUCGAGUGGCGAACGGGUGAGUAACACGUGAGUAACCUGCCCUUGACUUUGGGAUAACUUCAGGAAACUGGGGCUAAUACCGGAUAGGAGCUCCUGCUGCAUGGUGGGGGUUGGAAAGUUUCGGCGGUUGGGGAUGGACUCGCGGCUUAUCAGCUUGUUGGUGGGGUAGUGGCUUACCAAGGCUUUGACGGGUAGCCGGCCUGAGAGGGUGACCGGCCACAUUGGGACCGAGAUACGGGCCAGACUCCUACGGGAGGCAAGCGGGGGGAAUAUUGCAACAUGGGGGGAAGCCUGAUGCAGCAAAGCCGCGUGCGGGAUGACGGCCUUCGGGUUGUAAACCGCUUUCGCCUGUGACGAAGCGUGAGUGACGGUAAUGGGUAAAGAAGCACCGGCUAACUACGUG
This 468-nucleotide ribosomal RNA is filed under the name uncultured bacterium. RNAcentral's name for it is "partial 16S ribosomal RNA". It matches the Rfam family "Bacterial small subunit ribosomal RNA", at positions 28 to 507 of the family's 1533-position model. The record is from RNAcentral.